RNAcentral lists this transfer RNA (67 nucleotides) under Bacteroidota bacterium. RNAcentral's name for it is "Bacteroidetes bacterium tRNA-Glu". The record is from RNAcentral. RNAcentral also lists the same sequence under 1 other name. Lineage: Bacteria; Pseudomonadati; Bacteroidota.
GGGAUGCAAUUCAGAGCAUCCCGGUUUUCAACCGGGAGGGUCGUAGGUUCGAACCCUACAGUUCCCA